Non-coding RNA from Macaca mulatta (Rhesus monkey), 1248 nucleotides. Lineage: Eukaryota; Metazoa; Chordata; Mammalia; Primates; Cercopithecidae. The record is from RefSeq and is a predicted model, not a curated record.
CUGUCUCAAAAAAAAAAAAAAAAAAAAAAAAAAGCUUAUGUGAUAUUACUUUUUUCUCAUUUAACAGAAAGGGAAAUUAGAGAACUCAAGGGGCGGCAUCCUGCCUAAAACCCCAUUGCUUAUACUAGGUGUAACCAGAAUGAUGAUUUAGGCAAUCUGACUUGUAUCUAGUCCGUUAGAAGACAUCUUCACCUACCUUGGUGGGCUGUGUUGCAAAAAGAGAAACGGCGUUUUUCUCAUGUUAAAAGAAUGGAAAAUGAAGCAUUUCUUUAAUGACUAAAAGAGGUUAGAAAUGAAAAAAAUUUUUGAUUCUAUGGUAUAACUUAGUAGAGAAAAAGGAGAAAGACAAAUGAGACAGAAAAUUUAAACCCUAUUAAGGGAAAAGUGGUAAAGGGAGAGAAAAAAUAAACAGACACAGUGGAAGGAGAGACAGACGUGAAGAGUAGGAUAAAAAGAAAAAGAAAUUCACCUAAAGAGGAUGAACUAAUAUGUUGGAGAGACACAAAAUGUAUAUACACAAAGAAAACCACAGAGAGUGGAGUUCAUGAUACAAUCUGCAACUGCAAGAAGAAACAGAAAGAAAAGUGCAGAUGAAGGCCCUUAACUACAUCCAAACUACACAUAUCAGAUAUUCAACUGACAAGAUUGGAUUGAGACCCUUAAGUGAUUUAAAUGAGGACUCUGGCUCUGAGGAGGUGGAUGGAGAAAAUUGGCCCCAAAGAUUUAACCCUAAGUUUUAAUGAAGUCUUGAGUUCCAAUGAAGACGUCCUGAUUGACUCAGGCUUAUAGUGCCCCCUCGUGCCUGAUGAAGACAAACACAAACCCCUUCAGGAGGAAAUCAUCUUGAACCCAAGUUCUCUACAUUUAUACACAUUAUCUAUUUAUUGAGCAAUCAUUUAUUGAACACCUAUUAUAUGCCAGACACUCUGUCAGGAACUUAGGAUGUUUAAAUAUAAGGUCGUAACAAAUGUCACAAAAUUGAAGAAAAACAGACACUUUGGAGAGUUUGGCUUAUAAGCAAAGAAGAGCCUUCUAUUUCCUCCUAGAUCCCUAAGCAAACAAAGGAUUUCAGAUAUUGAAAUGAUUAGAUACAGACUAUAAAAAUAACUAUUUACUAAAAGUUUAAUGAAAUAAAAAAUAGAAUAAUAAAACAAUCAAGGAGCACGGGAUAAUCAAAACCAAGUACAUUUGAAAAAGAACAAAAGAGAACUUUGCUAUACUCCAUAAUGAUAAAAUAAAAAUCCAAAA